AUACUUACCUGGCAGGGGAGAUACCAUGAUCACGAAGGUGNUUUUCCCAGGGCAAGGCUCACCCAUUGCACUUNGGGGUGUUCUGACCUCUGCGAUUUCCCCAAAUGCGGGAAACUCAACUACAUAACUUGGGGUAGUGGGGGCUGCGUUCGCGCUCUCCCCUG
This 164-nucleotide small nuclear RNA is filed under the name Mus caroli (Ryukyu mouse). Its description in RNAcentral is "snRNA (MGP_CAROLIEiJ_G0035233.1)". It matches the Rfam family "U1 spliceosomal RNA". From Rfam's summary of the family: U1 is a small nuclear RNA (snRNA) component of the spliceosome (involved in pre-mRNA splicing). Its 5' end forms complementary base pairs with the 5' splice junction, thus defining the 5' donor site of an intron. Lineage: Eukaryota; Metazoa; Chordata; Mammalia; Rodentia; Muridae. The record is from RNAcentral.